GCAUGUGGGAUCUUAGCUCCCCAACCAGGGAUCAAACCUGCACCCCCUGCAUUGGAAGGUGAAGUCUCAACCACUGGACUGCCAGGGAAGUCCCCCUAUGUUCACUUUUAAUAAUUGCUGUGUCCUGCAGAUUUUCAUCUAUUUUUCUUUAAGCAAAAUUUUUGCCUGGAAAUUCUGGACCACCUUAUAGUUCUUUGAUGCUUCUAUGAGGAUUUUUUAAAAAUUUGGUGAGUGGCCGAGAUGGUGGAAUAAGAAGACCCUGAGCUCAUCUCCUUCCAUGGGCACACCAGAACUACAACUGUUUAUACGCAGCAACUAUUGAUGAGAAUGACAUGAAGACUAGCAGAAAAGAUCUUCUGCAACUAAAGAUAAAAUGAAGGAACCAUGAGACAAGUAGGAAGGGUGGAGACGCAGUAUAGUCAAGACCUAUACCCCCAGGUUGGUGCUUUUCUUUUGCAAACAUCCUGGUAUGGCUCUUCCAGCACUUGUGAGGAAUCCCUAAGAAGUACGCGGGCCUCUCACUGCUGUGGCCUCUCCCGUUGCGGA
Long non-coding RNA from Aethalodelphis obliquidens (Pacific white-sided dolphin), 546 nucleotides. RefSeq lists it as uncharacterized. Lineage: Eukaryota; Metazoa; Chordata; Mammalia; Artiodactyla; Delphinidae. The transcript is spliced from 4 exons. The record is from RefSeq and is a predicted model, not a curated record.